CCCCUCCUUUCCAGAGCUGAACGUGUCAAACGUUGAGCGCUCACGCUUAUCGGCUGUAGUGAAGAAACGCAGACAGACUCAGGGGUCUGUAGCUCAGUCGGUUAGAGCACCGUCUUGAUAAGGCGGGGGUCGAUGGUUCGAAUCCAUCCAGACCCACCACUGUCAUGUCUGGUGAGCUGGUCGGCUGUGACUCCUGCGAUCUCUGUAUGACCGGGGGGAUUAGCUCAGCUGGGAGAGCACCUGCUUUGCAAGCAGGGGGUCGUCGGUUCGAUCCCGUCAUCCUCCACCAAUCCUCAAUGCGUAGCGUUCUGUGAAAGCGGCAGAGCGUUGUGCAUUGGCGAUUGAGCCAGUCAGCAAGUGAUAUGAAGCAGAGCUUUGUAUCGGCUGUCGUUCUUUAACAAUCAGGAAGAAGUAGUAAAGAGAUUCACGAAAGCAUACUUAGAGAUGGGUGUGCGAGUAGGUGAAUCAGGGUUGUGAUUGUAUCGAUGUAUUUUAAAGGUAAUCGAAAGAUUGCUCUUGGAAUACGGCGCAACACGAAUACUCAACCUGUAGCGAGUGAUCGGAUCGCUGGUCCCCUUCGGGGAUCGGGCCAGAGUAAGUGCUAAAGCACUAACACUGGCCGAGAAGACACACCCGUUAUAGGGUCAAGCGAACAAGUGCAUGUGGUGGAUGCCUUGGCGAUCACAGGCGAUGAAGGACGCGGUAGCCUGCGAAAAGCUACGGGGAGCUGGCAAACGAGCUUUGAUCCGUAGAUGUCCGAAUGGG
This 765-nucleotide unclassified non-coding RNA is filed under the name Burkholderia sp. JNR104. RNAcentral's name for it is "partial 16S-23S ribosomal RNA intergenic spacer; may also contain 16S ribosomal RNA and 23S ribosomal RNA". The stretch from base 643 to 765 matches the Rfam family "Bacterial large subunit ribosomal RNA", at positions 1 to 122 of the family's 2925-position model. Lineage: Bacteria; Pseudomonadati; Pseudomonadota; Betaproteobacteria; Burkholderiales; Burkholderiaceae. The record is from RNAcentral.